Non-coding RNA from Pelobates cultripes (western spadefoot toad), 129 nucleotides. Lineage: Eukaryota; Metazoa; Chordata; Amphibia; Anura; Pelobatidae. The record is from the annotation of a GenBank genome assembly.
CUCAAGGAUUUUCCAAAGUUUACUUCUCCAUUUAUUGUGGAAAAAUCAAAAUCUAAGUUUCAGCUCCUCUAGGGAGCUUUCAUCUGGACACAAAUAAAUGGAGAAGUAAACUUUGGAAAAUCCUUGAGU